This 551-nucleotide long non-coding RNA is filed under the name Parus major (Great Tit). RNAcentral's name for it is "lncRNA (ENSPMJG00000002852.1)". Lineage: Eukaryota; Metazoa; Chordata; Aves; Passeriformes; Paridae. The record is from RNAcentral.
AUGCAAAAUAUUCAGGAAUACUUUCCAUGUAGUUAUGAAAAUAGACUAGGAAAAUUAUCACAUUCUCAGGACUGGGUUACAUUUUUAUAUCUUAUCAUAGAGCAGUUAAUUUCUGGCUAUUUCUUGCAGGACCUAACCCCAGCUGCUGGCUCCUUCCAGAGGCAGGACUUUGCACACAAAUGGCACAGACAGCAGUGCCCUCUCUCCCAUCAGCAGUGGACUUGUGGCACUGAGAUGUCCAAGGAUCACACCGAGAGAAUUCCUGCUGAGCUCCUGCUGUGGAAGAGCUGGCACAGACAGGAAGAAAAGCUGCUUUUAAGUCCUCCUGGUACGUGCAUUGUCCUUGAAGAGAGGGGCCUUGUACAGAACAUCCCCAGCUCACCCCUGCUCUGCAGCUCUCACUCGUGGGAGACUCACUCCGAGCAGCAGCUGCUUCUCUUGGUGCUUGUCCAAGGCAACUGGAGCUGUGAAACUUUUGAGGAUCACCUUUCACAUUAAAUCUGUUUUCUUCAGGAAAUAAAUUCUCACUUCAGCGUGGCCUGUGCUAUAUA